ACAAGCGGUGGAUGAUGUGGAUUAAUUCGAUGCAACGCGAAAAACCUUACCUACCCUUGACAUGUCCGGAAUCCCGAAGAGAUUUUGGGAGUGCUCGCAAGAGAACCGGAACACAGGUGCUGCAUGGCUGUCGUCAGCUCGUGUCGUGAGAUGUUGGGUUAAGUCCCGCAACGAGCGCAACCCUUGUCAUUAGUUGCCAUCAUUUGGUUGGGCACUCUAAGGAGACUGCCGGUGACAAACCGGAGGAAGGUGGGGAUGACGUCAAGUCCUCAUGGCCCUUAUGGGUAGGGCUUCACACGUCAUACAAUGGUCGGUACAGAGGGUUGCCAACCCGCGAGGGGGAGCUAAUCCCACAAAGCCGAUCGUAGUCCGGAUCGCAGUCUGCAACUCGACUGCGUGAAGUCGGAAUCGCUAGUAAUCGUGGAUCAGCAUGUCACGGUGAAUACGUUCCCGGGUCUU
Molecule: ribosomal RNA, 459 nt
Filed under: uncultured Rhodocyclaceae bacterium
Lineage: Bacteria; Pseudomonadati; Pseudomonadota; Betaproteobacteria; Rhodocyclales; Rhodocyclaceae
Description: bacterial SSU rRNA
Rfam family: Bacterial small subunit ribosomal RNA
Source: RNAcentral